UAACUCGCAAAGAAAGCCCUUUGAAGUUCCAAACUAGGGCUCUCGA
Molecule: ribosomal RNA, 46 nt
Filed under: Climacostomum virens
Lineage: Eukaryota; Ciliophora; Heterotrichea; Heterotrichida; Climacostomidae
Source: RNAcentral